CCCUUCGAUGUUCUGGGCCGCACGCGCGCUACACUGAUUGAGUCAACAAGUUUACAACCUUUUCCGAAAGGAAUGGGUAAUCUUUUGAAACUCAAUCGUGAUAGGGAUAGAUGAUUGCAAUUUUUCAUCUUCAACGAGGAAUGCCUAGUAAACGCAAGUCAUCAGCUUGCAUUGAUUACGUCCCUGCCCUUUGUACACACCGCCCGUCGCUCCUACCGAUUGAAUGAUCCGAUGAAUAUCAUGGAUUGAGGAUUAUAGCAGGUUCGCCUGUCUUGAUCUUCGAGAAGUGAAGUAAAUCUUAUCAUUUAGAGGAAGGAGAAGUCGUAACA
Molecule: ribosomal RNA, 329 nt
Filed under: uncultured eukaryote
Lineage: Eukaryota
Description: partial 18S ribosomal RNA
Rfam family: Eukaryotic small subunit ribosomal RNA
Source: RNAcentral